CUUUGCCAAGUGUGAGUUAUGACAAACAAAAGGAUUCGGGAUUACUUUGUGUUUAUCAUGUUGUUAACUGGUAGAAUGAUCAUAUUGGACUAAAAGAACCUGGUGUUCAACACAAAUGAAGUAAUAAAGCAGACAACUGGAACCCGCCGGAUGCUUUCAAAUCAAGUUUCAUGCAUUCAGAAGCAUGUCCACCAUAUGAUUGCUGGAAUAGCUUUACCUUUGUUGCCACAAAAUAAAAAAAGAGCACUUACUUGAGUCUUUUGUUUUCAUUUAGUAUUGGAUGUAGCUUUCACUGAAGUAUUAACGCCUUUCGAAAAUUUAAAUGUGAUUGGUAAUUUUGCUUCAUUAACUAGACCAAAAGAGAAGAACCG
This is a non-coding RNA of Cucurbita pepo subsp. pepo (vegetable marrow), 371 nucleotides long. NCBI's taxonomy places the organism in Eukaryota, Viridiplantae, Streptophyta, Magnoliopsida, Cucurbitales, Cucurbitaceae. The record is from RefSeq and is a predicted model, not a curated record.